UUCUCAUGGUUAGAAAUGGAGACAAUUGUUAUUCUGGUUCGCUACAAUGGAAAAUGGGUAACCUCAAAGAAGAUGUGCAAAUACGAAGGGGGUGACUCAAAAGACUUAAUAGUUCCACUGACCAUCACAUUUGCUAAACUAUUGGAUCGUAUGCAUCAGAUUGAUUUUGUCAUUUUCAAUCUUUCUGUGAUUUGAGUAUAUUCAGAAAUUGGGCAUUUCCCAGUAAGACUGCAGUUGUCAAUUGUCCCCAGCAGUAGUUAAAGAUGUUGGACGUACGACCUCCAAACGAAGAUGUCAGUUACCCAGGAGACCAGCCGUGGCAUGUGUCGUUCCCAUCUCCACCUCUGACUCCAAUUGCCACCCUAUUGCGUGUAUCCCAGCGAUAGUUAUUGCUAUCCUAUUGCAAAAUAUUGCCCUCAUAUUGCCACUAGAUUGUCUGUGUAUUGCCCAAAUAUUGUGGUUCUAUUGUAUGUAUAUUGACUAGGGCUCGUCAUUGGGUUUAGAGUUUAGGGCCUACUUUAUUCGAAAACAAGAAGAAGAGGAGAAAGGAACAAUGUGCCUUUCAAAAAGAGGCACUUAGCUACAUCAUA
Prunus dulcis (almond) is the source of this 590-nucleotide long non-coding RNA. RefSeq lists it as uncharacterized. The transcript has 3 exons. The record is from RefSeq and is a predicted model, not a curated record. Lineage: Eukaryota; Viridiplantae; Streptophyta; Magnoliopsida; Rosales; Rosaceae.